UGCGUGGGUUGGCUGCCGGGCAACCGGCGGCCGGCUCUAGCGGCGAACGGGUGAGUAACACGUGGGCAAUCUGCCCUGAAGAUGGGGACAACCUCGGGAAGCCGGGGCUAAUACCCGAUGCGCUCACCGGGCGGCAUCACCUGGUGAGGAAAUCCCGCAAGGGGCUUCAGGAUGAGCCCGCGGCGUAUCAGCUAGUUGGUGGGGUAACGGCCCACCAAGGCGAAGACGCGUAGCUGGCCUGAGAGGGUGGUCAGCCACACUGGGACUGAGACACGGCCCAGACUCCUACGGGAGGCAGCAGUUGGGAAUUUUGGGCAAUGGGCGCAAGCCUGACCCAGCGACGCCGCGUGGGGGAUGAAGGCCUUCGGGUCGUAAACCCCUGUCAGGAGGGAAGAAGCCCCGCAAGGGGUGACGGUACCUCCAGAGGAAGCCCCGGCUAACUACGUGCCAGCAGCCGCGGUAAGACGUAGGGGGCGAGCGUUGUCCGGGUUUACUGGGCGUAAAGCGCGUGUAGGCGGCCUGCUAAGUGGCGUGUGAAAGCUCACCGCUCAACGGUGAGAGGCCGCGCCAUACUGGCGGGCUUGAGGGUGGCAGAGGGUGAUGGAAUUCCCGGUGUAGCG
This 620-nucleotide ribosomal RNA is filed under the name uncultured bacterium. RNAcentral describes it as "bacterial SSU rRNA". It matches the Rfam family "Bacterial small subunit ribosomal RNA", at positions 63 to 680 of the family's 1533-position model. The record is from RNAcentral.